CUACGGGAGGCAGCAGCAAGGAAUUUUCGGCAAUGGGCGCAAGCCUGAUCCAGCCAUGCCGCGUGAGUGAAGAAGGCCCUCGGGUUGUAAAGCUCUUUUGUCCGGAAAGAAAAGCGCCGGGUUAAUACCCUGGUGUCCUGACGGUACCGGAAGAAUAAGCACCGGCUAACUUCGUGCCAGCAGCCGCGGUAAUACGAAGGGUGCAAGCGUUACUCGGAAUUACUGGGCGUAAAGCGUGCGUAGGUGGUUCGUUAAGUCCGAUGUGAAAGCCCUGGGCUCAACCUGGGAAUGGCAUUGGAUACUGGCGGGCUAGAGUGCGGUAGAGGGUAGUGGAAUUCCCGGUGUAGCAGUGAAAUGCGUAGAGAUCGGGAGGAACAUCCGUGGCGAAGGCGACUACCUGGACCAGCACUGACACUGAGGCACGAAAGCGUGGGGAGCAAACAGGAUUAGAAACCCUAGUAGUCC
This 465-nucleotide ribosomal RNA is filed under the name uncultured bacterium. RNAcentral's name for it is "bacterial SSU rRNA". It matches the Rfam family "Bacterial small subunit ribosomal RNA", at positions 339 to 796 of the family's 1533-position model. The record is from RNAcentral.